AUCGCUUCUCGGCCUUUUGGCUAAGAUCAAGUGUAGUAUCUGUUCUUAUCAGUUUAAUAUCUGAUACGUCCUCGUUGCCUAACGGAUAAGGCGUCUCACUUCGAUAUACUUACGUAAAUUUACAUAUGCAUUAUUAUAAAGUACAUAUAUA
RNAcentral lists this small nuclear RNA (151 nucleotides) under Prolemur simus (greater bamboo lemur). RNAcentral describes it as "U2 spliceosomal RNA (ENSPSMG00000011905.1)". It matches the Rfam family "U2 spliceosomal RNA". From Rfam's summary of the family: U2 is a small nuclear RNA (snRNA) component of the spliceosome (involved in pre-mRNA splicing). Complementary binding between U2 snRNA (in an area lying towards the 5' end but 3' to hairpin I) and the branchpoint sequence (BPS) of the intron results the bulging out of an unpaired adenosine, on the BPS, which initiates a nucleophilic attack at the intronic 5' splice site, thus starting the first of two transesterification reactions that mediate splicing. Lineage: Eukaryota; Metazoa; Chordata; Mammalia; Primates; Lemuridae. The record is from RNAcentral.